UCCGGUGGUGCCGGAGGGAAAGCCGUUAAGCCCCGCCGCCUGGGAAGUACGGGCCGCAAGGCUGAAACUUAAAGGAAUUGGCGGGGGAGCACUACAACGGGUGGAGCCUGCGGUUCAAUUGGAUUCAACGCCGGGAAGCUUACCGGGGGAGACAGCUGGAUGAAGGUCGGGCUGAAGACCCUACCAGACUAGCUGAGAGGUGGUGCAUGGCCGCCGUCAGUUCGUACUGUGAAGCAUCCUGUUAAGUCAGGCAACGAGCGAGACCCGCGCCCUCAGUUGCCAGCGGAUCCCUUCGGGGAUGCCGGGCACACUGAGGGGACUGCCGGCGCUAAGCCGGAGGAAGGUGCGGGCAACGGCAGGUCCGUAUGCCCCGAAUCCCUCGGGCUACACGCGGGCUACAAUGGCCGGGACAAUGGGUACCGACCCCGAAAGGGGUAGGUAAUCCCCUAAACCCGGUCUAACCUGGGAUCGAGGGCUGCAACUCGCCCUCGUGAACCUGGAAUUCCGUAGUAAUCGCGCCUCAAAAUGGCGCGGGAAAU
This 539-nucleotide ribosomal RNA is filed under the name uncultured archaeon. Its description in RNAcentral is "bacterial SSU rRNA". It matches the Rfam family "Archaeal small subunit ribosomal RNA", at positions 791 to 1323 of the family's 1478-position model. The record is from RNAcentral.